This is a small nuclear RNA of Sabethes cyaneus, 108 nucleotides long. Lineage: Eukaryota; Metazoa; Arthropoda; Insecta; Diptera; Culicidae. The record is from RefSeq and is a predicted model, not a curated record.
UUGUCCUAUCCUUGGCCCGACAUUACUAAAGUUGAAACGAUACAAAGAAAAUUAACACGACUUUUGCACAAGGAUAACGCUCAAAUUCGUGAAUUGCUCCACUUUUCU